UUGAACAACAACCAUCACCAAUUUUAUCUACUGCAUACAUUUUUUGAGAAAAGUGCAGCCUUUUAAAAAUAAAAAAGUUGCAUUACUUUAAGUGGCAUGUCUGUUUCCACUAACUUAUAUACAGAUGCAUGAUGUUGGUUUCACUCCUUUGAUUUUCAAAGUCCCAGCUUAGGAAUGGGGAAACUCUGACCCUCCAAAUGUUUUGGGGCCACAGCUCCCAACAUUCCUGAUCAUUGGCCAUGCUAGCUGGGGCUGAUGGGAGAUGGAGUUCAGUAACCUCAGAGGGCCACAGGUUCCCCAUCCCUGUCCUAACCACACUAAUAGGUUGCUUGAUUGACCCCCUAAGAUACCUAAUUGAAUAGCCUGCUGCUUGAAAGGGAUGCUUAUAUACCUGAUAGGAUUCUUUAUUAGAGUGCUAAGUCUUUUGUGAUAGAAAUUCAGUCUUAUCCAAAUGGCUUCAGAAAUGUUUCAUAGAAAUCAGAAGUAUAAACAGGAGUGAGAUUUAAUAAAGAUAAGCUGAGAUGAAGUAGGAGGGAGAAAAAUAAAUUAAUUGUAAAUGGAAUGACUAAGAGUCAUACACUUACUGCUAGCUAAGUUGCUCAAGGUAGGAGAUACUCCUAUUGAGAUUGAUGUUUCCCAUGCAUCACCAUCUAUGUGACCAGGAAUAUUUUCAUAACUUGCUUCCAGAUGAAAAGUUUGACAUGGAGUAAUACUGAUUUAUGGUGCAGAACUUCGGUAUACAGUGUCAAGAAUGUUGAACUCUUAACAGUAGACAAGAUAUUGUUUUUAUUUGUAAAGCAAACAGAGUGAUAUGAUAGAGCUAUUGUUGCUUGUGUUUCAUGUAGUCAUUUGUUUGUUAAACCAUCAUUUGAUUAAAUGCUAUUCACUA
Podarcis raffonei (Aeolian wall lizard) is the source of this 889-nucleotide long non-coding RNA. RefSeq lists it as uncharacterized. NCBI's taxonomy places the organism in Eukaryota, Metazoa, Chordata, Lepidosauria, Squamata, Lacertidae. The record is from RefSeq and is a predicted model, not a curated record. The transcript is spliced from 2 exons.